Long non-coding RNA from Mus musculus (house mouse), 1420 nucleotides. RefSeq annotates it as predicted gene, 42223. The record is from RefSeq and is a predicted model, not a curated record. Lineage: Eukaryota; Metazoa; Chordata; Mammalia; Rodentia; Muridae. The transcript has 3 exons.
CUCUCCUUCCCCUCCCCCCUCUCUCCCUCUUUCCUCCUGUUCUUCUCCCUGUCUCUUUCUUAUUAGGAUCUCAUGUAUUCCAUUCCAGAUUGGCCUCCAACUCUUUGUGCAGCCAAGACUGACCUUGGAUUCCCCUGGGUGUUUGGAUUACAAACAUGUACCACUGGCCCGGCUGAUGCAGUGCUAGAGAUCAAACCCAGGGCUUCAUGUGUGAUAGUCAAGCACUCCACCCACUGAGCUACAUUCCCAGCCCCUAAAAUCAAACAUUUGGAAACUAAUGUGGAGCUUUGUCUUUUACAAAGUAGGUUGUCUUGUUACUAAACAUAAGUUAUUUCGGUAUACAAUCUGCCACCAUGGGAUGCAAACAGAUAAUAAAGAAUCUUUCUUCACAGAGAGAACCAGGCAACAGCUUCCAUCUAUUAGGGAUGGCACGGAGCUGAAGCAUCUUGCCAUUCCAGCACCAUGCCAGCCUGCCCUUGGCGCUGUUAGCUGGGAAACAACUGACUAUCCUGAAGCACUAAGGAUGGACAGAUCCGAGAGCAGAGCUGAAAGCAAGCCAACCCGUCCCAGCCUCUCCGCACCUCGGCCUCACCUCUGCAUGUUUCUAUUUGAGCUGUGAGAAAGAAAGCUGCUCCAAUGACAAGGAUGACGUGGAGAAGAGGAGAGGAAGAGGGGGAGGGGACGAGGAAGACGCCUGACUAAGGUUUUUAUUAAGCAUCAACAAAGCCGAAAAAACAAGCCAAGCUGACACUCACAUUUUCUACAACAAACUGUGUUGUUUGAAACUAAGUUGCCCUCACGAUAUUUCUAUGGAACUGACCACUAAGAUGAAAGUCCCUGCAAGCUUGGAGUGAUACAACUUGAUGACUCAAUUCUCCCACCUUCUCCCUCUAAUUAGACUCCUGGGACACCCAGUUCGCACAGCUGAGUGAGAGGACAUUUGCCUUCUUUGGCGAGAAGAUGUCCUUGGCGUAUGAAGCCCACCAGUGUUCUCAUUGCCUGGCUGUAACUCAAGAAGUAGCACUUUGCUUGGCAUUGACUCUUUUGGAAGCAGGAGCUUAACUCAGACAGUGAAGUGUGGACCAGUUUUAAUUACAGGAUGCAAAUGAUCCAAAAUGUGUUUCUACUAAUUUGCUUCUAGAACAUCAUUUAUAAACAAACACAAAGUUUAGUUUUAUGAAUAACUCUCAAAUUCCCCUUUUGGUGAUACCCUUACCUUCCUCUGAAAACUUUACAAUAUUAUUCAUUUGAAAUGUAAACUCCUCAACCAUUGCUAAUUUCUCUUGGGUGGAGGGCAACAUAAACAUCAUAGUGUGGAAUUAAAAUAUUAGGCUUACAACUCUUCUGUGGAAAUAAACAGGGAUCCUUGCAAACAGAGUAAUGAUGGCACACCAGUGGACAGUUAAAUAAAAGUAAUUUU